This 69-nucleotide transfer RNA is filed under the name Ptychadena mascareniensis (Masarene ridged frog). Its description in RNAcentral is "tRNA-Asp". Lineage: Eukaryota; Metazoa; Chordata; Amphibia; Anura; Ptychadenidae. The record is from RNAcentral.
GAGGGCUUAGUUAAAUUAUAACAUUACCUUGUCAGGGCAAAAUUGCUAGCGAAACUCUUGCAUCCCUCU